GGACACAUCUCUGGAGAGUUCCGCUGAAAAGAUGCGGACGCCGAAGGUGCAAAGGGAUCUUUGAUCCCGAAUCUCUCAGGCAAAAGGACAGGGCUGGCAGC
This is a regulatory RNA element of Dialister sp. CAG:357, 101 nucleotides long. It matches the Rfam family "Glycine riboswitch aptamer". Rfam says of the family: This family represents the bacterial glycine riboswitch. Glycine riboswitches usually consist of two metabolite-binding aptamers domains with similar structures in tandem. The record is from Rfam. Lineage: Bacteria; Bacillati; Bacillota; Negativicutes; Veillonellales; Veillonellaceae.